Long non-coding RNA from Macrobrachium nipponense, 693 nucleotides. RefSeq lists it as uncharacterized. The record is from RefSeq and is a predicted model, not a curated record. NCBI's taxonomy places the organism in Eukaryota, Metazoa, Arthropoda, Malacostraca, Decapoda, Palaemonidae. The transcript has 3 exons.
GCUUCGGGGUCGACGAAGCAUCAUAGAUUUAUUACGUUCAUAAACUUAUGAGAGCAGUUUUUAACGGUCCUCUACCUGAGGAGAGCGAAAUGAGUUGGUACCAGGGAACGUAAGACAGGAUUUUGGUUGUAUGAUCAGGAGAUCUGUGCUACCAUCCCCAUGAACGUUAGUAUUCAAUCCAUAUUGUACUUUAGAAAUUAGAAUGAGCUUGUUAAAAAGUGGACUUGAAGUAAACCUUCCUUCACGUAAGGCUUCGUGCAUACCUUUAAUCUUUUAACGAUAUGACUGGUAAAUGAUUUCAUUUCUUGAAAAAUAAUUCUAGGUACUUUUAUAAUUCAAUUUUUAACCACUUCCAGAUCUUUCGCGACCCCCAAUAUACUUUACGAAGCAGAGUACUUUGGUGGGAUUAACGGAAAUCAAAAUUUUCAGGCCAGGAUAACUUGUCUCAAGCUACACAAAAUUGGAUUUAUUCCCUUCUCAGGUUUACUGGAUAAGCUAUUUGCGAUGAUACAAACCAUCCUUCAGUUACUCAAUCAUAACUGUGUUCCUUGCGUUUACUCAGCUAUAGGUUUUGAUGAGAUGAGAAAGUUGUUGGCUUACUGCCGUUCUUUAUUUUUCUGUAAGUUGUCCAUCAUCGAUGGCUCAAAAGGUGUAAUUCAUUAUAUUUACCUUACAAUAAAUAUCAGUUGCACA